AACGAACGCUGGCGGCAUGCCUAACACAUGCAAGUCGAACGAGACCUUCGGGUCUAGUGGCGCACGGGUGCGUAACGCGUGGGAACCUGCCUUUAGGUUCGGAAUAACUCAGAGAAAUUUGAGCUAAUACCGGAUGAUGUCUUCGGACCAAAGAUUUAUCGCCUUUAGAUGGGCCCGCGUAAGAUUAGCUAGUUGGUGAGGUAAAGGCUCACCAAGGCGACGAUCCUUAGCUGGUCUGAGAGGAUGAUCAGCCACACUGGGACUGAGACACGGCCCAGACUCCUACGGGAGGCAGCAGUGGGGAAUAUUGGACAAUGGGCGAAAGCCUGAUCCAGCAAUGCCGCGUGAGUGAUGAAGGCCUUAGGGUUGUAAAGGCUCUUUUACCCGGGAUGAUAAUGACAGUACCGGGAGAAUAAGCUCCGGCUAACUCCGUGCCAGCAGCCGCGGUAAAGUGACUACUG
RNAcentral lists this ribosomal RNA (461 nucleotides) under uncultured bacterium. Its description in RNAcentral is "bacterial SSU rRNA". It matches the Rfam family "Bacterial small subunit ribosomal RNA", at positions 29 to 534 of the family's 1533-position model. The record is from RNAcentral.